This 459-nucleotide ribosomal RNA is filed under the name uncultured bacterium. Its description in RNAcentral is "bacterial SSU rRNA". It matches the Rfam family "Bacterial small subunit ribosomal RNA", at positions 27 to 507 of the family's 1533-position model. The record is from RNAcentral.
GGACGAACGCUGGCGGCGUGCUUCAUACAUGCAAGUCGAACGAGAAUCUGACUUCGGUCAGAGGAAAGUGGCGGACGGGUGAGUAAUAUGUAGGAAAUCUGCCUUUAGGAGGGGGACAACAGAGGGAAACUUCUGCUAAUACCCCAUAUGAGCUAAGUUGAAAUACUUAUCUUGAAAACUCCGGUGCCUAAAGAUGAGCCUGCAUCUGAUUAGCUUGUUGGUGGUGUAAUGGACUACCAAGGCGACGAUCAGUAGCUGGUUUGAGAGGAUGAUCAGCCACAAUGGGACUGAGACACGGCCCAUACUCCUACGGGAGGCAGCAGUAGGGAAUUUUGCGCAAUGGGCAAAAGCCUGACGCAGCAACGCCGCGUGAACGAUUAAGCCCUUCGGGGUGUAAAAUUCUGUCAGUGGGGACGAAACUUGACGGUACCCACAGAGGAAGCACCGGCUAACUCCGUG